UUGCAACUAGGUCGUUUUUGAGAGGCUUCGAAGACCGAGAUGCUACUAGAAGUAGGAGCUUGUGUUUGUUUUGUUGACCGGCGAGCAAACCGAGUUUGUGUAAACAUGUAACUGUAACCAGUGUUUGAUUCCUUCUGUUGUAACCUGUUUCACAUGGAACUCCCUACGAUUAGCUUGUAAAGUAUUGCAGAAAGUUUGUUGAUUUAAGAAUUUUUUUUUGGCUUUCCAUGCAAGAAAUUUUGUUACAUUCACCUAACCUAGCUACUAUUUGAAUCAUUCAAAAUGCGCCUCAUUUGUGGACAAAAUUUAAAGGGUGUGCAUAGCACUACCCUUCAAAAUACUCCCACUUUGUUAAAGAGUUCUAUGUUAUGAUACGAGCAGACGAUGAGGUUGGUAUACUAUGAAUUUAGAAUAUAAUAUAAAAAUAAGUAAAUAAUGUGUUAUAAGAUGGUUGAAUUAAGCUACUCAGUACUACGGUCUGGUGGGAUUUCUCUUCAUUUAAAAGUGAGAGGUCUUAGGUUCGAAUGUCGUGGAUGACGAAUUCGAUACCAAAUUAGGUUGCCCGUUGUGUGGCUUUACCGAAUUCCCUCUCCCCUUAGUGUAAAAAUAUCGAUGUACUAAAAAAAAAAGAUGGCUGAAUUAACAAAUAUCAAGUGUUGUGGUCUAUAAUUGAAUUGAAUUGGAGAAAAGUUUUAGUAAGGGAACUUGAUCAUGUAGUUGGUUAGGCUACUCUGAUGAGAAUGAGAUUUUGUGUCUCAUGGAUUGUGCUUUCAUGGAGAAAAGCUUUAGUAGGGAUUGUAUUUACGACCUACAUUGAAUUGCUUUCGAGAAAAGCUUUAGGGUUAGUUUAGGAUUGUUGUGUUUUUUUUUUAACUGCUUCUAUAGUACUGUGAGGAUAAACAAAUGUGAAAAAAGUAGGUAAGUGUUUGGUAACUAUAAUGCUUAAAGUUGGUAUUGUUCACCUGCUCCAAUGAAAAAAAAAACGUUUUUUUUUAGAAGCAUGUGUAGAGUUGCUUUUGCUUUCUGCUGUUUUGAACCAAUGAUUUUGAAAAAUAAAUAUUUAUUUUUUCAUUUUCCAAACAACUUUUUUAAGAAGUUGCGUUAAAAAAAAAUUUAAGUAACCCCAAACCGAUCUUGUGCUUAGCGGAGUGUACGUAUGUGGAGCAAUGUAUUACUUAAACAUAGAGGAGCUUGCUUUUUUAGAGAGUGGCUUUUAACAACUCUUGAUCAGAUUGUCCUAAUAAAGCCUUUCUCUCAUAUGGAAUUGCAGAGGUGGAAUCAUCUUAACGGAAAAAUAUGGAGGUGUUCACUAUAUGCUUUAACAGUUAAAAAAUUAAUAAAUAAAAAUAGUCUCCCACCAUUAGCCGUCGCCGGCCCCUCCACUGAUGGAAACACACCUUUCGAAUUCAAUCAAUCCAUACGUUUGGAUUCAAAAAUCUCUUUGAACCAAUCCAACUCGCUGAAUUUAAUAAACCCUAAAGUUGUACGGACAACCCCCCAACAAUGUGAUUGUUCACCAAGAUGCAAUAUUUCUAUGCAUAAUGGUUCAUCAUUGUUUUGCCACUUUGAAGGGAAAAAAAGGAGAUGCCAAGUCAAAGCUACAACAAGAGUUUUGAUUUGGUGCUGGAAGUUGGUCUGUCUUCUCUGAUUUGCUCAUGGGAUUCUGUAUCUCAAUCAGCUUAAAAGAGUUCAAAUAUUUUGUAUUUAUUUUGUAUGUUGCAGCUUUGUGCUUUUAUUAUCAAUUGACAUGUCUUAAUAAACUUAAUUUUUUUUAACUUUAUUGUUAUAAAUUUAACACGUAUUAAUCAAUAAUAGAGACCACAUAAAUGUCACACUCAAAAUAGGUGCAAAAAAUUUUCUCUCAGUUAAAAAUGAACAGUUAUUUAUUUCAUUUUAUUUUUUUAUUAGCUUUGUCACUGAGUCUAUGAUGAGUCACGGACCAAUAGAAAAAUCAAAUUGAAUUUGUCUUUUUAUUCUUCUUUUUCUUUUGUAGUUGCAUAUCAUUUGGCACUAGGUGACACACAUGGUGACUAACUCAACAUUUAAAUAAUGAAAAGGAAAAAACGAAGAGGAAAGAUGAUGGAGGGUUUAGACUUUACUAGUGAUCCCUCGUCGUCCUUAUCCAAAGUGUAUGUAUUAGUGGAUAAGCAUGUACUAUAAAUAUUAACAUGAAAAAAAGAUGAAGAAAAAGCUACAAAUUCAUAUCCCCCCACAUCCCACCCCCACCCAAUGUUAUGGCUUUUACAAUGUGAAAGAUGUCGGAGUACCAAAAGAUUCCAUCUUUCCCAUGAAGGUUCAACUUAAAGGGAUUGAGAUCCUCUUCGGAUCUCUUUGUUUGGAGCAUGUAAAUUGAGAGAUUUGGACCGCUUAAUUUCAAUAUCUACGAUUCCCAUUAGAUCAUCACACUGACCUCCAUCACAAAAACUCAAAAAAUUUAACAGUCGGAUCGCUUUCUCUUUCUCUUGAAUGAUCUGAAUCUCUCGAUCCCUGAUAACAAACAUAGAGAUCCGGAGUGGAUCUCAUUCGAGAGUGUCCUUUUUUUCAUGUAGACAAGUGUUUAAUGUAGAGAACAUUUUAUAUUGUUUUACCAUUUUUGUGUACCGUCACAGUUGCAUUUCUAGCUCUCUUUCAAACAUAUAUAGCUAAAGAAACAGGGAUAGAUAUGAACUAGGAAAGAGGGAGAGGGAGCGAGGAAGCGUUUACAAACAUGGCAACGAAAUAGGAGGUGUGGCUGGGGAGGAGACCUCUCAUUUAUACAAUGAGAAAGAAAUAACCUAAAACACAAUCAUUUAGCCAUGGCAUUACUAUGCCUCAAAUAAAAACGGAUAGCUUGCUAUGUGUAUUCAAGGGACCUAUAAGGCACUCACCGACCCCACAUGCCCUAAAGCCACCUGAUUCCCAAAACCAUAUAUUAGCCUUGAGUCUCAAAUUACUUCUUUGCUAUUGCAUCAUUGGGAAAGAAAUCCCUAUCCUCCAAUCAUUCAUUUUUUAACCCUCAUUUUCUUUUAGGAUUCUUCAACAAUUCUAAGUUUGUAUUGGUAAAGGGUCUACGAAUCCAUACUAGAUUUUGUUUAGCGUGAUACGAAUUUGCGUUUUUACUAUAUUAUCAAUGCACUAUACAUAUGCAAAUACCGUUAACGAAAUUACGUGGCGUUUUAUUAUUGAUGUAAACAAAGCACUCACCUAGAGUAAACGCAUGCAACAUUUUCCAAAUUUCUAUAAAAUGUAGAUAUUUUGCAUAUUGACUAGCAUUCCAUGUUAGUCCACAUUAUAUGUUAGCCAAACAUUGAAUGCCUAGAUAUACUGGUACCAUCGCAUCUACAGUAGUCCACUUUGCAUGUUAUAUACUAAAGAGGAGUUUAAUACAUCAUCCAAGGUGUUUUCUUCUUUUUAUUUUCCCAACUAUUUGGAGCUUGCCCUGCCAUAUAUACCAGGUAUACUUCGUCAACAUUUUAUCAUGUCUGCUGGCCCUUCACUUUUUGAGAGAUCUCAAAUCUUCUUUAUUCUUGUGCCCUAGCUAGACAUGUGCCGGGGAACAAUGGUAGGGGUCACAUAUUUUAGUCACAAACUAGAAAGUCCUUACUACUUCAUCUUCUGGUUCAAUCUUCCUUCACGUUAUCUAGUGAUAUAAAACUAAUCAAGACCCUUGAUCAUUUUAAAGACGUACACACAUAGUUCGUUCUCAGAAAUGCUCGAAUGUUGUAUAAAAAUCUGGAUGUGAAGAUUUCAGAUGGGGAUAUAUAUAUUAAUAAAUUUGAGAAUUUGGAUUCCAGCAUUUCAUUCAUUUACCGAAGUUUUUAGGUUUUUGAGAUGUUGAACAAAAGAUUAAGACUGCUGCUGCCAUUCCAGUUAACUGGAAGAUGGACAGCUAAAAAACCAGGCAGCCAAUCAUUCAACGGAAUAUAUAUACAUGUAUAUAUAUUUGUGUGUUUGUGUAGCGUGAAGUUAUUCUUUGGAACGAAUCAAAACGAAGGAGCCUUUUCAUCCAACCACGUACUAAGAUUCUAUCCUCGACCCUGAUCGGCUGAUCACGUACGUACAAAUUAUAGCAUUUGGACAUCAAGGAUUCCAGUUCAGAUAAGUAUGUAGCGCUUAUAUAAUAUGAGAAAUAGGAACAAAUAAUAUAGCAAUUGUGAGGUGUCAAGUAGUCAAUGAUUCAUUAAUCAAUAAGAAAAAAAAUCUUACUCUCACGGAAUACAAGCAAAUCUUUUAGUAAAUGCAUAAAGAUCAGAGAAAAACAAAAGAAACCAUAAAAUUAUAUCUAUUUUCUGUUCAACCUGCUACAGGAGCUAACAUAUUGCCAUAAUUUAUUUCAGUAAUUCCUCCAUAAAUUAUUUUCCUGGCAACCAAGCCCAGAAUCAGGAGAAAAGGUCAUUCAUCCGGUGAAAAGAAAGGAAAGAAAGAGGUCAGGGAAUAUUAAGGAUGAUAUAGUAACUAUUUUAUAUAUAUCAUAUAUGAUAAGCCAAGAAUAUCAGACUUGCCUGAGUUUACAUUUCCUCAAGUUCAUCACCUUUCUUUACUGCUGUAAAUUAGGUCAUGGCUGAAAGAUGAUGAAAACCCUAAAUCCUCCUCUCACCGUCCUCCUCCUCCUCCUCCUCCUCCUCCUCCGGCCCGCAACUUUUCGACAUCGAAGACUGAUAAUCUCCUCUUGAUGACAUUCCUCUCAGCUUUUGAAGCACCAUCGCCAUCUUUCCUUGGACAAAUUCAGUGACACCAAAAGAAAGAAAUUGAACGACGACAGAGACUGAUCCUGUGAAUUCCUUCAGAAACUGGUCACUUAGGUAGAAGUUAGAAUUAAGGUGUAGAGAGAGAGAGAGAGAGAGAGAGAGAGAGAGAGAGGGGGAGAGAGAGAGAGGG
Molecule: long non-coding RNA, 4857 nt
Filed under: Malus domestica (apple)
Lineage: Eukaryota; Viridiplantae; Streptophyta; Magnoliopsida; Rosales; Rosaceae
Description: long non-coding RNA (MDOM_LNC004169)
Source: RNAcentral